Labeo rohita (rohu) is the source of this 6964-nucleotide long non-coding RNA. RefSeq lists it as uncharacterized. Lineage: Eukaryota; Metazoa; Chordata; Actinopteri; Cypriniformes; Cyprinidae. The record is from RefSeq and is a predicted model, not a curated record. The transcript is spliced from 5 exons.
CAAACAUUGACCACUAUAAUGGUUGCUUAAAAAUUUUGGUUUUCUCCUUUGGUGAUUCUGCUUGUUAACAUCAGGUGUCUUCAAUAAUGAUCAAUCAUCACUUUGUUAAUCACCUAAUUAUAUCAUUACCUUCAACACUGCUUCAGUGUUUAUAUGUGUCCACACUCAGAGUGUUAAAUUAACACUGGGGAUUUUGCUGUCUAUGUUUGGAGAAGGUUCUUACAACAUAAAUUUGUUAUCUGGGUGUGCACUCAUACUGUGAGCUCAUCAUGUGACACCACUGUGAUAGUGUUGAGAAACAGGAAGUAGAAUGUCCCCUGGUGACGGAUAUUUGCAGUGCCUCCUCUCAACCUGCACAACAUUUUGAAUUCACAAUGAGCUCACAUAUUACUCACACUCUUGAGUAUCACACAAUGAGAAUGAUGUGAUGUCACUGUGAACAUCGCAUGAUCUCACGUGUUGACUGGGAAAGACCCUGUUGAAAGGCGGUGCUGGAGCACCAAACUGAAUGCGAUAGCCUCGCUCUACAGUGCACGCACUGUUGUCACCAUUAGAAUUACCUACUGUAGCCAAAGCACAAGAACUGAUUUAACCUCUUUAUUUAACCAACCGAUAUUUAGUGAUGUUCACAGUGAUGUUCAGUGGUAGUAAAGCUCUUAUUUAGGGAUGUAUUAGUGCUGAAGGUGUGAGGGUUUUGUGCUUUAUCAAUGCUGUCACCAAUCCACAAACUACUGUCUGAUGUAAUAAAAAAAGAAAAAGAAAAAAAAAAAAAACAACUGAAACUGAAGAUGCUACCCUUCCCUUUAUUUCCUGCAUUUUUUUAGCAUAACAAUGAAUAUAUUCAUUCUCCCAAGGUGAAUAUCCCUCUGUGGACAGGUAUUUCACCCAAUCUUAACGCGAUUGAGCGGCUGUGGGGAUUCUGUAGAGACGGGCUGAGCAAAACUCUCCAUUAAAGACCAGGGCAUUUAAGGAGGUCGUCCUCCAGGAGUUCAACAGCACAGAUGUGAAAAUUUCCCGUGAACUUGUAUACUUCUGCCAAGAUAACUUAGAGCAGUAUACUUAAAGUUCUGGAGUACAUACUAAGUACUAGAAUAUUAUAUAUUUGCUGAAUUAAAUCUAGGGUGUACUCAUUACUGCAAUCCUUUAUUUAAACAAAAUUGUUUUUAUUUAAAAUAAGUUUCUUUCUGGCUACUUUGUAUAGGUUUCUAUGUAAGUACUGGCACUUCUGAUUGGGCUGAGGCUGGAAUUUAGCAAGUUCUAAGUAAAAGUAUUUGAUGGACGUAUAAUACAGUAUGUGUCAGGAGCACUGUGUUCGCUCAGUAUCAUUAUGUAUCUCAUUUUUGACCGAGAUGGCUUUUAGCUGGUUUUGCAUCUGAACUCUUCAUAUAUAUAUAUAUAUAUAUAUAUAUAUUUGUGUAUUUUUUCCUUCAAAAGUAUUGGAACAGUGAGGCCAAUUCCUUCAGCUUUUCUGUAGACUGAAACAUUAGAAAAGAAAGACCCUAAAACAACUGCUAGUGACAUCAGCAACAACCUCCAGAUAGCAGGAGUAAAGAUUCAGAUUCUGAUUCAGUAGCUAGUGCUCUGGUGGGUUCCACCCAGGAGGAGUAGGAGAUGCUUGAAGAGGGACAAGAAGUUGAGACUGAGCCCUCUUAUUCCUCCUGGAACUCAGAUGCUCGGAUGGGAGCAGCAUGCUCAUAGGUGACCCUCUAAAAUGAGGGGAGGCAACGCUAAGCUCAACAGCUAAUAGGCAAUUCAUCAGGGAGGCGGCAAGCGGCCAAUUAUUUUUUGUUGCCACAGAGCUCAAACGGAGGGCUUGUCUCUUGAUGAGAGAGAAAAACCACAUCUUACCAGCACAUAGUGGUUAAUGCCAUGUCCUAAAGGCAGACCGAAAGGGGAUUCAGAAAUGGGAUCUAGCUUAAAAAGGGAAUCGGACAUUUCAACAGGGUAGUAGACGGGUCUCAUAUAUAGCAGCUGCCAGGCGAAGACCUUUUGGCAACACUGAAUGGUUGCAUACACGGUAGUGACGCUCUCAGCCCCCAGCUGAGGCAGGGUUUUCAUAGCUCAAACUGGGAGCAUUAGGUCUCAGCUUACCCUCAUAUUAGAGGGGAGCAGUUCCUAGCAUGACCAUAAGGUAGCGCAAAUUAGACAGAGCCAGACAAGGCCCAAAAAAGAGAGCUGUUACCAUCACAUAGAAUCUGCAGAGCUAUUGCUCCUCAGAGCCAUAGCAGUCAGAAAGGGUUUCCUCAGAAACACCUCUCACUCGUACCUCAGGAAAGAUAGUGUUCUCAAGCCCACUCCUCAGAGGGGCGUCGAGGGGUCGUCACCACAGUCAGUCAAGAGCAGAGAGGGGUUGUAGAGGUUCCUUCCCUGAAAUAGAGUCGGAGACACAACAACAGACAGGCAGGUCACAGAAAAAGCACUGCAAAGAAAGCCAGUAACCAGAUGCACACAACCUUAUGCUGGAAGAAUAAUAUGGAUCGUACUCACCCAACAUGGCUCCUGCGCAAUGUACAGUGGAGUCUGAAGGAGGCUUGGGUCAGACAUCAGCAGGGUGGUUCUAUGAACAUAGAACCUGCCCAAAACAUCAUCGGAGAGACUGCAGCCUAGAGACUGCAGUAGAAGCACAGGAGGCUCCAACCUAACCUAGUUGGGUGGAAAGAUGGUGAUUUCAGGGAUAUUAGGGGAGGGGAAGAAAGAGGGAAAAUAAAAAUAUAGAGCAUUGAAAACGCCUCGUCUGGAUCGCCUCCCUCAGGUCUUGCCUACCUACAUUUGACUUGUGCCUUCUCCCAGCCCCACCUGGACGCAGGGGAGGGGCAUUUGUCAUGACACUAGCCUUCUGCACCCGCCUCCGAUCCUCAGGCUGGCAUGGGACAGGACCCCUUCGGGCUCAGACCUGGGCCUUCUUGGAGUGAAGGACUUCAAGGCGGCUGAACGUGCCUUCACCUCCAUAAACUUCUCGGCCACCGUCUCAACAGAGGUACCGAAAAGUUCAGAAGACGAAACUGGGGCAUCGGGGCACCCAUCUUUCCAAUAUUCGCCAGGUUCACCCAGAGAUGCCUCUCCGCAACCACCAUGACCACCAUAGAUCUGCCCUCUUAGUAGCACGGAGGGCAAGAACUGUGGUGUGGCGCAGCUCAGUUACCUAAUCAGGGGAAAGACCCUUACCUUUAUCCAGGUCCUUCAGCAGAUCAGCCUGAUAUGCUUAAAGCACCGCCAUGGUGUGCAUUAAAGCCACAGCCUGACGCUGCAUACGCCCUACCAUUCAAACGAGAUGUAUCCUGAAGGGGUUUGGAUGGUAAGGAGGGAGCCUUGAGAGAGGACGUCUCACCGCUAGAGAGAUAGAAUACUAGCAUCUCUUCUAUAGGGGCAUCCUCUCAUACCCAUUUUCAUGCAUCUAGUGUGAUGAAACCUAUUGAUGCAGGAAGAAAACAGGUUUUUCCAUGCCUUCUCGAUCUCCACAUGGAGAUUGGAAAAAAAGGAAGUCAAUUUUACAGCAAGUCAAGCCUUGGUACGUUCCAUAUCCUCCAGCAGCUCAGCAUACACAGGGCAGGAGGGUUAAGAGGGCUCAGUCUCGACUUCUUUGCCCUCUUCAAGCAUGCCCUCUUCAAACUGCCCCCUCGAGGACAUCUUGUGCAUGCUCUUCACCCAAACAAACAGCACAAAGAUCGUGUGUGUCAUCUGGUGUUAGAAAACAAGGACACAGAUCUGCACACUUCUUAUAUGUUUUGCUAGUGUUCACCAAAGGAGAGAAAAUAGCUCUUACUCGCUUCAAACAAAAUAGUCCAUUGAAGACGAAGAAGGGGAUGUUGUGUUCUACUGCCGUCUUUUUAUACUGUGGUCGCGUCGGUAGUGACGUGCCGGAAGUGAUGUCCUAUGCUGUUGCCGGCCAACACUGUUGUAGUUUUGGAUGUAAGCUUUAGACAAGAGUCAGGCUGAAGGCGUUCCCCUAACAAGAGUCUAGAGUAAGGAGAGAGAUGGUCAUUCUACUGCUGACUACUAGAAUGCUGUAACCUCUUUUCUUUUUGUUUGUUACGUUAUCAGAGUGUUUUAUUUUAUGUUUUGUACACGCCCUUUCACAUGUGUGUGAGAAGAGUAUGUUAUAAAGGCUCAUGUAACGAUUGCUUAUAUUUUAUAUUUGCCACCUGCAGACUGUUUUGAGAGCUUAUGUUGACUUUUGGAUGUUUUUUUCCCGUCAUUUUUGGCCUAUGGAUCACUGAACUGUUAAGGGAGAACUGAGGUGAACUGAACUGCAGUGCGCUGCGUUAGAAUAUAAUGGAAAAGACUGUGUUUUUUUGCACAUCAUACACCUGUGCAACGAGUGUCAGUGCAGACUGUUCACGUGUGAUUUGGGGAACGUGAAGAACGUGGUGGAAUUGUUUUUUUCUUCCUUGGUCAUGCAUGCCAGCUGUGUUUGCUGCAGAUGGCUCCCCACGUUUGCCUCCAACUGAGCCCCCGAACACGCCAGUUGACAAUGUUAAUAUGGAACCCGAGGCAGGAAGGAUGGAUGGCUCUGACUGGGCUUUUGAGGAUGGAAGAGUAAACUCUGGUUUUAACCAAAGGGGAAACUUCAGGGGAGGGAGGACAUUCAGACGGUCCAAUCCUCCCUCCAGAAGGUAAUUGUGCCACAUUUUCCUGAUGCUUCCAUAAAUGAUUAGCCUACCUUGUGUCAUAUGGAGGAUGUUGUUUCCCUGUCCCAUUGGAAUACCCUUUUCAAGGUUAAUCUUUAUGGUAAAGCUUUUGACGGUACUCUUGACACUGGUGCUUCCCUAUCGGCAGUGCAAUCGGUGGUGGUCCAGACUAUUUCUGGGGGGGACACAUGAUUAAAGCCAUGGUCUGCACCUCCUAUUCAGCUUGCAGAUGGCACAUCCUGUUGCCCACUGGAUGUCACCUGGUUGUCUUUGGGUUUCAUGGGUCAGCAUUCCUAUCACCGUUUUGCUGUUCUUAAAAGUCUUUCCUCUCCUAUUGUUCUUGGAAUAGACUUCAUGUUGAGAUCUUCAGUCACACUCCAUGUUCCAUCCAGGACUGUGGUGCAUACCGUAUUCUACUCCAGAAAAGGAGUGUUUGGCUGUCAUCUGGACCCUUAGUACGGUACACAUAGGAAACAGCGAAAUACAGCGUUUAAUCUUAAUUACGAAAUGUGUUUUGUAAUGUCAUAUCGUUUAAUAACGAUAUUUAUGUGCUGUAUGUGGUUAAAGUUUUCUCAAAGACAUGUUUAUCCACUCGCGAUGCGGAACAGACCAGAGUCCUGUGUACUCCUAAACUUUUUCUCAGAGAGAUAUUUUCUUUCACUCACAACGCAGAGGAGACAAGUUUUAUCAAGGAAAGCACCGAAAGUAAGUGUUUUAUCUAAGUUGCGAUAUGUAUUUUGUAAGAUAAUAUUACUUUAUGAUGAUAUUUAUAACGUCAUGCUGUUCGCGCCUAAACGAGCCUAAACGUUUCUCACAGAUUUGAAUUGCAAUGCGGUGCUGACGCAGAGGUCGCUAGGGAAACUUAAGGGAGAUAUUUUCUUUCACUCAUGAUGCAGAGCAGACGGGGGAAGUUGGUUUUAUCAAGGAAAACACCUAAAAGAGAUAUUCUUUUACUCGGGAGAUGGUGUGCUUUAAGAGUAUGAAGUCACCAAUACAUUAAGUGGGAUGAGAAGAGCUUUGUUAGGACACAUACCAGAGACAAGGGAGGAGUCCAACCUCAAUGCAGAGAGAGAUCAGUAUGCACUUGGAAUUAUGACUUUGUUUCUGGUGUUAAAAGACUAAUUUUCCACUCUUCUGUCAUUUACAGCCCUGCAGUUUGAUUAUAAAGAAGAUUGAAUCGCCAAGAAUGAGGCUUAUUGUGAUGGUCCAUGGCCUUUCAAGGUGUCUUUAGAGACUGCUGAACACUAAAUUUGGUCACACAUGACAUCCGACUCCUGCAAAUCAUCAAGUCAUGUUCUUCCCAGUGGAGUUGUGCGGCGGCUGCAGUCGGAGUGUGUUCAGUGGACUUCCUGAAUUGUUCAGCGGCUGUACAGAGCUCAAUUUAAUUGCUCCUUGCCUCCAGGAGAAGGUAGAGAGCACACAUUUGAUCUGAGCGGAAAUGAACGCAGCUCUUACGGAUUGUUUAACUUGUACGGAUGAGUAUGGAACGAAUUCCUCCACCUUGGGAUGAAGCUUAUAUAUCAGUGUGAUUCUUCUGCUGGAUGCGAGGCAGAAUGAAAUAGAGUGAAAUUUAUGGUUGCUCUUAAACACACAUCUUUUUUUUGGGUCAAAUCCAUCUGCCCAUCCAUCCAUUCUCAAAACCACUUGUCCUUCGUAUUGGGUCAUGGGCUGUGUAAAAUCUUAUGUAGCAUAUUGAUUUUAUUGGAUCAGAAAGUUCAUACAGACACAAACACUAAAAAUAAUACAAUUGUGAAUUGCUUAUUUCUUUUUUAAUUUCAUGGUGAAAUAUGACCAUGUUCUUGCCAGGUUUAGUGGGGAUUCAUUUGUGCACAUUUAGUACCAGGGACACUGCCCAUUGCAAGUAAUGAUUUCUAAGAUGCUUUGGAAGAACAGUGCCUGCUUAAAAUAAAUAAUGAGUGAAAUCUCACAAACCAAAAUUAAAUAAGAAAUUGAUUAUAUUUGUGAAUGAUGUCUGCUUGUGUUUCUUUGAUGAACCCCUGAGCCAAAUCAUUAAAGUCGGUCAUUGACACAAGCAUGUUCAGUGGACCCUUGCUCAUCUUCACAGUUUGUUAUCCAAGGACCAUGAUGUGGAUGCUGGGAAAUGGCAGUAAAGUAUUGAAUAUCAUGGUCUGUAGCACAAGGGAUUUGUCCUAACAGGUUUAAUUAAACUCUGAAAUGAAUUGGCUGUUUACUCCAGUUCUUGUGAAGGUUAGAAGGACAAUUAGACGGAAGCAUGCUGGCCUGGUCUAUUAAAUUAUUUUUAUUGGACUUAAUUAGAAUACUAAAUAAUUCAGGUUCUUAUACAUAAUGGAUCCGAGUUUGUUCUGAAUGUUCGU